AAGCCAGCUGAGCCUGAUUUUUCUACUCCCCUUCACUAGAGACUUGAAUACUUUAAGUGAGCUUAUACUAGUUUUGACUCAUAUUUUGCAAGCUCAAAUGCAAAUGUACAUUAAGCAUGAUAAUAUCAUGGUUGUAAGCUUACAUUCAAUGUUUUCCACAGGCUUGAUUACAUAUUUUGUUAGGCUUUUCAGGCUGAGCAGACUGUUGACGAAUAGAACAAUUUUUUAAUACAGUUUUUAGGUUGCUAAUUUAAGCUUGAGAGAGAAUUGAGUUUUUCUGCCAGUGCGAGGUUCCAUCAUUUUUCAGCUUGAUGAAACCAAAAUCAUGGAUCAAGUUGUCCAGCAAGAAGCCUAUCUAGAGGGAUCCAAUAUCAAAUAUAGAUGGAACCCAUACGAGUAUUCCCAGCUUCAAAAGCCUUGUUAUUUACCUCAAAUUGUGAAGUGGAAAGUCCUGAAGCUGUCUAUUUAUUUCUUGACCGCCAUAAAUUUUGGCACUGAAACAGACAACUAUUAGAAGCUUAUUACAGUAUAAACCUGAAAUUCUCGGACACAAGUAUGAAGUUGACGUUUGCUUCAUUUACUGUACGUUUAUUUUGUAUUUCAGGGGAACCCUUCCUGCAACAUCAUUUACUCCUCCACAAGCAGCAGUACCCGAGGCUUAAGGAAUCCUGCGUCAACAAUUAAUUAAUCAAUUAUUAUUUGAUGCAACCUUAUAUACACGCAAGAGAAAAAGUACUUGCUGCAGUCGAUGUCAGGUUUAAUGGGAAGAAGAUCAAAGGACAAUCCACAUUUCUUGGGAAGUCCAGCAAUGCGACCAGCAUCAUAUUUUAUGGGUGACAAAACUUUCUUGAAGGCACCCGCACACAGCUUGCCUAUCGGCCUUUAAUUUGAUGGUGCAAGCAAGUUCCUUCAUCCGACUACAAGAAGCGGGUGAAGGUUGGACUGCUUCGUCCUCUACAUAAUCCCGGCAUGACCAUAAUAAAUCAAU
Molecule: unclassified non-coding RNA, 988 nt
Filed under: Hevea brasiliensis (rubber tree)
Lineage: Eukaryota; Viridiplantae; Streptophyta; Magnoliopsida; Malpighiales; Euphorbiaceae
Source: RNAcentral